UGGGCUGCAAUGAGGCAGCUAUUCCUCUGAAUAUAGUUCACUAUAUAUAGCUGAUUACAUAGCUAUCUAAGGCAAUAAGCCAAUCACUAAACUAGGCAACAAUAUAAAAGGCAAGAGCCUAUAAGGCAUGCUCGUGAUUGGGGGUUGCCAUCCCAACUCCCUGGGCCAUGCCGUUAGCACUAGCAGUAGAAUAGGAAGGUACAAAACAGGAAAGUACAGCUCACAGAUUACUAUUAACAAUCUCCUCCUAAGCCGUGAGUACCUACUCUAUCUUCUUGCUUUUGUUAGGAUGUCACCUAGCUGCAAGUCUGUUUCGACGAACUCAACAUGAAUCAGCUUCCUGUCACAGCAUUCCCGGAUGAAAUGGAACUUCACAUCAAUAUGCUUGCUCCGGUCAUGGUGUACAGGAUUUUUCAUCAAAGCGAUGGCAGACUUGUUGUCUACCAGCAGUCUUGGUGCAAGGACAGCUCCUCCGAUGAGCUCAGCUAGCAAUCGUGCCAGCCAAACUGCCUCGCACGCAGCAGCAGCAGCAGCAAUGUACUCUGCUUCGCAUGAGGACAGAGCAACAACUUUCUGCUUCGCCGAUUGCCAAGCAACCGGUCCCCCUGCAAGGAAGAAGAUGAGCCCACUAGUGCUCUUUCUGUCAUUCACAUCGCCAGCCAAGUCGCUGUCUGAGUAUCCCAGCAACUCCGGCGCACCACAGUUCUUCUUCCCGGGGUAGUAGUGUAGUCCCUAGUCAUGGGCGGCGCCAGGGGUAUGCCCCUGUAUUCCAUGGAAUACCCAUGAUUUUUGUGAUAAAUACAAAUAUAUAUAUAUAUACACACAUGUAGAAUCAGUAUAUAUGUUAGUUUGUUGAAUGAUGUAAAUAUGUAGCCCAUAAGAGCAUCUCCAAGAGAUUAGCCAAAUCAUUUUCUAAAGGUAAAUUUGGCUAUUGUUGAAGGAAAAACGUUUGACUCUAUUAAUAACUCUUCAAAUUUAGCAGCUCUUCAUCCCGCCUUAUUCGCUCUCUACUUUUGGAUAGCCUACCUCACUAGUCAUUCUUUUAUAGAGUCUGUUGGAGUACUCUAAUAUCUUUUUGUCAAAUCUAUUUUAGAGAGUAGCUAAAUCAGUAAAUUUGGCUAAUCUUUUUGGCUAUUCUCUUGGAGAUGCUCUAAGAGCAACUCCAAUAGUCUGGCUAAAAUUAAUUGUCAAAUUCUAUUGUUUGGCUAUUUUGUCGAAUAGAAAAUUUCUAAAAAAAAUAAGAGAUCUACAAUAAUCUUGUUAUUUUACAAAGUCUUAUAGUUAGCGUCUGUAAUAAGCUAUAUAUAGCCACUGAAAAUCAAGAGAAAGCUAACUUCCUAAUUUACAAAAUUAAAUAUCAUAUUAGUUGGAGUCUACUUUUUGCUACAAAUUCUAAAAUAGCAUAAACAACAAGAAUAGUUAAACUCUUGAAGUUGCUCUAAGCCUAGUAGAACAACUAGUAGCGGCAACCCAUGAACUCAUCAGAAACAAACCCCAUCGACGGCAUUCCUCUAGCGGCGGCGGUCAGUGGUCUUUGUAGGCUUUCUCAUAUACGGCUCCCCCUCAACGCCUUUCUCAUAUACGGCUUGAAGCAAUAACAAGGUAAACAUAAAGAUCCCACAUCUAUUUUUUAUUCUUCAAAGUAAGAAUUGAAGGUUUCGUUUUCUUCUUUUUUUUGUUGCGUUCUGAUUUUUUUUUAAAAAAAUAUUGCAUUAUGUUCCUGUAACAUAGAUAAAGAAUUUAUAUACACUUUGAUUAUUAACAGGGGCGACACUAGGCUCACUUUGCCUGAUGCCUUGUUACCAGGAUAAAUAAAUAUUUUACGUAGCAUAUAUUUUAAGGAAAUUAUAUGUACUACUUGAGCUGUGCACCAGAAUUAAUUUUGUAUUAAUUUUAUCCUCUAUUAUUAUUGCACAUAUGCAUUGAAAAAUUUUUAUACGUGGAAUACCCAGCUGUGAAAUCCUGGCUCCGCCACUGUCCCUAGUGCAGUGUGCCUGCCACGUACCGGAGCACACGUUUCACAGCAGUGAGGUGCUCUUGCCGUGGCGCCUCCAUGAAUCUGCUCAAGUACCCCACAGGAUAAGCCAGGUCUGGCCGGGAAUUGCACAGGUACCUAAGGCUCCCAAUUAGGCUCCGGUACUCCGUUGCAUCAACAGCCAGCGAAGUUCCUUCCUUGAGCAGCUUCAGCCUUGGCUCCAUGGGGGUUGCACUUGCAUUGCAACCACUCAAGCCCGCCUUCUCGAGUAUCUUUGAGGCGUACGCCGUCUGCCGGAGUGAGAUACCAGCUGCUCCCUGUGUCACCUCGAGUCCAAGGUAGUAGGAGAGCAGGCCAAGAUCACUCAUCUUAAAUGUGCUCAGCAUCUGCUGCUUGAACUUUGUCACGGCGUUGGUGUUUCCUCCAGUUAUGAUGAGGUCGUCGACGUAUACACCGACAAUCAGGCGGCCAGUGCCUUGACCGCGGGUGUACAUUCCAUGCUCGUCGACGCAGCGCUUGAACCCAAGCCGCAGCAGCUCGGUGUCCAGCUUCUGGUUCCAGGCGCGCGGAGCCUGUCGCAGUCCAUAGAGUGCUUUGUGGAGGCGGAGCACUCUAUGCUUGUGGUCGCUGUCGAUGAAGCCUGGAGGUUGCUGAACGUAUACCUCCUCCUAGAGUUCGCCGUUCAAGAACGCCGAUUUGACGUCCAUGUGAUGGACGCCCCAGCCGAAGUGUGCUGCGAUCGCGAGGACCAGCCGCACUGACUCCAGCCGUGCGACCGGGGCAUAGACCUCCUCGAAGUCGACUCCGGGCUGCUGCACAUAGCCUUUUGCGACAAGACGCGCCUUGUACUUGACAAUGGCGCCGUUCUCGUCACGCUUGACUUUGUAGACCCACUUCAAGCCGAUGGCCCGAUGUCCGUGUGGAAGCUCGACCAGCGACCAAGUGUGGUUGUCGCAGAUCGACUUCAUCUCCUCCUCCAUUGCGGCAACCCAGUUAGGAUCGCCGUCGGCCUCCUUCAGCGAGCGGGGCUCCUCCACGCUCACAGCAUGGCUAACUGCGUGGAGCUCGGCCUCGGCGGUGUCUCGGUGUGCCAGCCCCGGUACUGCAUCUGUACCGAGGACGUUGUCCAGCGUGCGGUACCGAUGUGGCUCCCCCUCAUCAUAGGCGUCGAGGUUGGAGUCGUUGGCGAGCGGCGUCGCGAACUCAAUCUGAGUUCGUAUGUCCUGCGUCGAUGCAGACGGGGUCGAAGGAGAUGGCGAAGCCCGCGUCGCGCUUGGAGCAGGGGAUGACGCCGAGGUCAUGCUCGGGGCUAGGGAAGAAGCCGUGGGGGUAGUGGACGCAGGCUGCAACCGCGUCACGGGUGCUGCAAUCGGCUGCAUCUGCACCUCGUGGUCUUCUUCGAUGGAGAAGGGCAGACGGUCAUCAGCGCCCAGAUUUUCUUCCCAGUUCCACCGCGCAUCUUCAUCAAAGACGGCGUCGCGGGAGACGUAGACGCGUGCGGCCUCAGGAUCAAAGAACCUGUACGCCUUGGUCCCGUCCUGGUAGCCGAUGAAGACGACCUUGAUGCCUCUGUCGUCCAGUUUGGCGAGGUGUGGGCGCACUUGCUUGAUGUAGGCAACACACCCAAACACUUUGAGGAAGUGUACAGGGGUUUCUUCCCGUACCACGCCUGGUACGGGGUCUUCCCAUCGAGCGCAGCAGUGGGUGCUUGAGCAGGAAGACAGCAGUGUGCACUGCCUCCCCCCAGAAGCACCCUGGUACUCCGCGGGCUCAAAGGAUGCUCCUCGCCAUUGCCACCACGGUCUGGUUUCGCUGCUCUACAACGCCAUUCUGCUGCGGCGUAUAGGGGGCUGAAUGGUGGCGCUGAAUCCCCUCUCCUGCACAGUACUCCCCAAAUUCAACUGAGGUGAACUCACCGCCGUUGUCAGUCCGGAGUACCUUCAGUUUCUUGCCCGUCUCGCGCUCAACACGCGCCUGAAACGUCUGGAUGGCUGCUGGGGCAUCCGCCUUGGAACGCAGGAGGGUGAGCCACAUGAAGCGGCUCAUGUCGUCGACGAGUAGAAGGAAGUAGACGUUCCCAGCCGGUGUUGCCGGCGUGAUGGGGCCGCAGAGAUCUCCAUGGACCAGCUCGAGCUCCUCCUGAGCCCUGAACUUUGCGGCCUUGGGGAACGGAGUCCGCUUCUGUUUCGCCAGGACGCAGUCUUCACAGACCUGCUCAACAUGGUCUAUGGUGGGCAGUCCACGCACCAUGUCGGCGCGUCCCAGUUUGCGCAGCGCCUUGAAGUUGAGGUGACCGUAGCGUUCGUGCCAUCGCCACGCCAUGUCGCCAACCCGUGCUGUGAGGCACACAGGGGCAGUCACCUUCAUGUCGAGGAAGUACAGUCGACUUGGCGAUCGAUGCACCUUCGCCAGCAGCUGCCGGUCCGGGUCGAAGAGACGGAGUAUGCCCGACUCGAUGUCGACCUUGAACCCAGUCUCGUCCAUCUGGCCGAGACUGAUGAUGUUGGUGGUGAGGCGAGGGAUGUAGUAGACGCCGUCCAGCUGACGAUGUUCACCAGUCCUGCAGACGAACAGUACCGUCCCCUUGCCGUGGAUGUUCACCACCGAGCCGUCUCCGAACUUGACUGUUCCAGAGAUGCUGGUGUCGAGCUCGGCGAAGACAUUGCGGGCGCCCGUCAUGUGGUUGGUUGCGCCAGUGUCGAGCACCCACCGAUGGGGUUGCACGGCCUCCUCCUGUUCCUCGCUGAGGUGAAGGAGGACCUUGGGUUCAGUGAUGUGAACCCGUGUCUCCGACUCCGGGGCUGCUGGCGUCAAUGGAGGCCUGUGAGGACAACACGCCACGGGCGAUGCAAUUACCUCUGGAUCCGCCGUGAUGUACAUCAGCGCGUGCUCUUCUUCCUCGGCUUGUGCGACGUGCGCCGCGCCCUUCUUCUUGCUGCGGCACUCAUUGGUCCAGUGACCAGUUUUGCCGCAGGACUGGCAGUGGUAGCCGGGGGGCGGCUUCUUGCCGCCAGGUUUGGCCGCCUGCGCGUUCUGGCCAUCACGGCCAUCACGCGACGAAGUGCCUGAGCACCGCGUCCGCGUCCGCGCCCACGCUGCUUGCCGCGGGCGCCAGAACCCGAUCCGCCGGAGUUCUCCUGCUCACGGCGUGACUUGUGGCGCGCCUCCCAGUGCUCUUCACAGAGCAUCAGCCGGCCCAGCGAGUCCGUCACUUCCUUCGGCUUGAGUCGCUCCUCGAACACCCUCAGCCGCCCGAUCACCUCCUCGAUUGAGACCCUGUUGAGGUCGAGGAACAUCUCGAGGGAGACGGCGGCCUGCGUGAGCUUCUCUGGAACAACCUGCAGGAGCUUUUUGACUACCUCUGCAUCCUGGAUGUUGUCGCCGAGGGAGCGCAGGUUGGCAGCGAGUGUGGAGAUGCGGACGCCGAAGUCGCUGACGGUUUCGCCCUCCUUGAAGGAGAGAGCGCCGAACUCCCGGCGGAGCUGCUGCGCGCUGGCGUCGCGCGCGCGCUCAUCGCCGAUCCGUAGAUGCUUGACUGCAUCCCAGGCCUGCUUCACCGUGUCCUUCCUGGCCAGCGUGUUCCAGAGCUCGGACGGCACCGAGCGUAGGAGACCGGCUAUCGCCUGGCGGUCGUCAUGGUACUCAUCGUCGUCGGCGUCGUCGGAGAGGCCGUCUUGGACGACGUCCCAUACUCGCAGCGUCUGGAAGUUUACUUCCAUGACCAGUGCCCACUCCGGGUAAUUCGUCCGGGUUAGCAUCGGCCAUGCAACAUGUGCAGACGAGCGCUCGACGAUUCGCUCGACAACUCUGGAGCCGGAGCGACGACGACUGUCGGAGCGCCCACAGCGACGUCGCGGCGAGCGCGACGGACGGACCUUGUUCUCGUCGUUGCUGCCUUCGGGCUUCUCGGUCUUGGCCGGAGACUUAGAAGACAUGGCUAACUACGAGAUCAGGCUCUGGUACCAAAUGUUAGAGCACCGAUCAACACAUACACAGAGGAAGACACAGGUAUUGUGGGCUGCAAUGAGGCAGCUAUUCCUCUGAAUAUAGUUCACUAUAUAUAGCUGAUUACAUAGCUAUCUAAGGCAAUAAGCCAAUCACUAAACUAGGCAACAAUAUAAAAGGCAAGAGCCUAUAAGGCAUGCUCGUGAUUGGGGGUUGCCAUCCCAACUCCCUGGGCCAUGCCGUUAGCACUAGCAGUAGAAUAGGAAGGUACAAAACAGGAAAGUACAGCUCACGGCUUACUAUUAACAU
RNAcentral lists this long non-coding RNA (6229 nucleotides) under Sorghum bicolor (sorghum). Its description in RNAcentral is "long non-coding RNA (SBIC_LNC001865)". Lineage: Eukaryota; Viridiplantae; Streptophyta; Magnoliopsida; Poales; Poaceae. The record is from RNAcentral.